Molecule: long non-coding RNA, 1113 nt
Organism: Lycium ferocissimum
Lineage: Eukaryota; Viridiplantae; Streptophyta; Magnoliopsida; Solanales; Solanaceae
Exons: 2
Source: RefSeq, a predicted model, not a curated record
ACAAAAAUAUUUACUAUUUUUAAAGUACAAGUUUUGUGUUUUAAUGAAAGAAAAAUAACAAAAAAAAAAAAGGUUUCUUUUAAUCUAGUUUUUUUAGUUAAUUACCUUUUAAAUUUUUCCUUAGUGUAAUGAUUUAAGUUUUUCUUAUUUUUUGAUUUAAAAGUAGUUGAUUAAUAUUUUAUCUAGGUGUUUUUAUUUAAUCAAAUGAAAAAGAAAAUCGAACCAAUAAUAGCCCGCCACUUGGAAAAAUUCCACCCUAUCCACACAAAAAAAGCACAUUCCAUUUUAGGGAGGGAAUAUUCCUUUCAUCCUUCAAGAUAUUUUUAUUCAUAUGGGCAUUUUGGGAAAGGGAAAAAAAUAACACACUCAAAAUUCUAGACUAGAUACCCUAUAAAUAUCUAAUUAUAGAAACCUAGACUGCACCUACCAUUACCUAAUAAUCAGCCGCAUACCUACAAACACAUUACCAGCCUCUACACACCAUCAUCGACCAUAAAAACACAAGAUCCUAAUAGAGAAACACAUGAAAAUAAGCCGCACACGAAACAAAAAUUAUCAGACGUAGAAACCUUCUUCUUCAAUUCUCUAAAACACCCACCAUAACAUCUCCCAAAAACCACACUUUCGCUGGUGUUUCUUGUUUGUGGGUGAGGUCUCGUUCGAGGUCGUCAGCAUAUUUUCGGGGCAAAGGUUCUUGCUUUUUCUCUAUGAGAGUGUAGUUGUUGUCCAUUUCAACUAUUGUACACAAAGUUGGAAGUUCUUAUCAAUAUUGCAGAAGGUCUAUGCAGUUUAAGGUUGGUCCAUUGCUUAAGGUCGUAUUAGUCAUAAGUGGGUGCUUAUCAUGCUUUAGAAGAAAUGUUCUGCUUUCAUUCAGCAAAUAAGUUGGAUUAUGAGGUGGUGAAAUCAACACUUGAUUCUAGUUUGUGAUUUUGGGAGCUUAAAUUGGAUCAUGUCACUUUAUUUUCACUAUUUUUGUCGCUAUGAGUAUGAUUAGGCCAAUGAAAAGUAUUUUUUCAAUUGCAGUUCUUCAUUGGGUUUAGUGUGUAUUUUAUCAUAUUGAAUUCGUCUGUUUUAUGGAUUCAUUUUAAAUGCACAAUCUUGUUGGAUACAACA